CCCGUGAACCNCGAGUCUUNGAACGCAAGUUGCGCCCGAAGCCUUCGGGCCGAGGGCACGCCUGCCUGGGCGUCACGCA
Molecule: ribosomal RNA, 79 nt
Filed under: Strobilanthes fluviatilis
Lineage: Eukaryota; Viridiplantae; Streptophyta; Magnoliopsida; Lamiales; Acanthaceae
Description: partial 5.8S ribosomal RNA
Source: RNAcentral